RNAcentral lists this ribosomal RNA (1319 nucleotides) under metagenome. Its description in RNAcentral is "bacterial SSU rRNA". It matches the Rfam family "Bacterial small subunit ribosomal RNA", at positions 197 to 1498 of the family's 1533-position model. The record is from RNAcentral.
AGCAGGAAAGCAGGGGACCGCAAGGCCUUGCGCUCUUUGAGCGGCCGAUGUCAGAUUAGCUAGUUGGUGAGGUAAAGGCUUACCAAGGCGACGAUCUGUAGCGGGUCUGAGAGGAUGAUCCGCCACACUGGAACUGAGACACAGUCCAGACUCCUACGGGAGGCAGCAGUGGGGAAUUUUGGACAAUGGGGGCAACCCUGAUCCAGCCAUGCCGCGUGAGUGAAGAAGGCCUUCGGGUUGUAAAGCUCUUUCGGCCGGGAGAAAUCGCAUGGGCCAAUACCCUGUGUGGAUGACGGUACCGGAAUAAGAAGCACCGGCUAACUACGUGCCAGCAGCCGCGGUAAUACGUAGGGUGCGAGCGUUAAUCGGAAUUACUGGGCGUAAAGCGUGCGCAGGCGUUUUGUAAGACAGGCGUGAAAUCCCCGGGCUUAACCUGGGAACUGCGUUUGUGACUGCAAGGCUAGAGUACGGCAGAGGGGGGUGGAAUUCCACGUGUAGCAGUGAAAUGCGUAGAGAUGUGGAGGAACACCAAUGGCGAAGGCAGCCCCCUGGGUCGAUACUGACGCUCAUGCACGAAAGCGUGGGUAGCAAACAGGAUUAGAUACCCUGGUAGUCCACGCCCUAAACUAUGUCAACUAGGUGUUGGGUGGGUAAAACCAUUUAGUAUCGUAGCUAACGCGUGAAGUUGACCGCCUGGGGAGUACGGCCGCAAGGUUAAAACUCAAAGGAAUUGACGGGGACCCGCACAAGCGGUGGAUGAUGUGGAUUAAUUCGAUGCAACGCGAAAAACCUUACCUACCCUUGACAUUCCAGGAACUUGCCAGAGAUGGCUUGGUGCCCGAAAGGGAGCCUGGACACAGGUGCUGCAUGGCUGUCGUCAGCUCGUGUCGUGAGAUGUUGGGUUAAGUCCCGCAACGAGCGCAACCCUUGUCGUUAAUUGCCAUCAUCUAGUUGGGCACUUUAACGAGACUGCCGGUGACAAACCGGAGGAAGGUGGGGAUGACGUCAAGUCCUCAUGGCCCUUAUGGGUAGGGCUUCACACGUCAUACAAUGGUUGGUACAAAGGGUUGCCAAGCCGCGAGGCGGAGCCAAUCCCAGAAAGCCGAUCGUAGUCCGGAUUGCAGGCUGCAACUCGCCUGCAUGAAGUCGGAAUCGCUAGUAAUCGUGGAUCAGCAUGUCACGGUGAAUACGUUCCCGGGUCUUGUACACACCGCCCGUCACACCAUGGGAGCGGGUUCCGCCAGAAGUAGGUAGCCUAACCGCAAGGGGGGCGCUUACCACGGCGGGGUUCGUGACUGGGGUGAAGUCGUAACAAGGUA